Small nucleolar RNA from Arabidopsis lyrata subsp. lyrata, 98 nucleotides. It matches the Rfam family "Small nucleolar RNA snR60/Z15/Z230/Z193/J17". Rfam says of the family: The members of this family belong to the C/D class of snoRNAs which contain the C (UGAUGA) and D (CUGA) box motifs. Most of the members of the box C/D family function in directing site-specific 2'-O-methylation of substrate RNAs. NCBI's taxonomy places the organism in Eukaryota, Viridiplantae, Streptophyta, Magnoliopsida, Brassicales, Brassicaceae. The record is from Rfam.
AGGGGUCAAGUGAUGAUUGAUAACGCAUAGUUCAGAUGAUAAAUUCUAUUAUGAUUAAUAUCUUCAGCAUAGUCUUUCGCUCCUAUCUGAUGACCCCU